Molecule: long non-coding RNA, 2080 nt
Organism: Balaenoptera musculus (blue whale)
Lineage: Eukaryota; Metazoa; Chordata; Mammalia; Artiodactyla; Balaenopteridae
Exons: 3
Source: RefSeq, a predicted model, not a curated record
AUUUGGAUUGUUUGCAGCUUUUGGUAAUUAUGGAUAGAACUACUACAAACAUUCCUGUAUAGAUUUUUAUGUGAACUUGAGUUUUCAUUUUUCUUGGGUAAAUACUUAGGAAUGAAUGGAUGGGCCAUUUCGUAAGCAUAGGUUUAACUUUGUUAGAAAUUGCCAAACUGUUUGCCAGAGUGGCUGUACCAUUUUGUAUUCCCACCAGCAACAUAUGAGAAUUCCAGUUCCUCCACAUCCUUGCCAGCAGCUGGUACUGCAGUUUUGUUUUGUUUUUUUUAAGUCAUUCCAACAGGUAUCCCAUUGCAGUUUUAAUUUGCAUUUCUCUAAUGGCUAAUGAUAUUGAGCAUCUUUUCAUGUGCUUGGUAAAGUGUCUUCAAAUCUUUUGUCUAUGUUUAAAUGGGAAUGUUUGUUUUCUUACCGAGUUAGGUCUUUAUGUAUUCUCAUUGCAAGUCCUUUGUCAGAUAUAUAUGUGUUGCACAUAUUUUCUCUCAGCCUGUGGCUUGUCUUUUCACUUCAGAGACUAAGGUUUGACUGAUUAAAUGCUGAGCGCUAGAGGUUUCAGGCUCUCUUGGUAGAAGAAAGUAAGGAAAUUGAGACCUUAGUCAGCAGAACGAUGUGAGGACCACCCCUUUUGAAGCUGUUUAUUUAAAAUACCAGAGUGGGGAAAGGGGUGCACCAAGACUGAGUUGUGCAGACAGAUGUCUGAAACUUUCUUUGAUUCCUUCUCUCUCUCCUGUCCCCACCUAUGAUGUGGAUUCUGGGCUCUUACCUUUAGCGGGGUUCUUCAGUUCCUGCUAUCACUCCAAACCCAUUGAGGCCUCUCCAGCUCCACAAACACCAACGGAAUACCCGAGAGGGCAGGCCAGCUUCUUGCCAGAGUAUAUUCCAGACUGAAAUAGUUUUUGAUAAGUAAUCAUUCCCAAGCCCUAAAGUGAUAGCCUCCAAGGAGUCACCCACUUUGAAGAGCUUCUUUCAUCUCCAGCUGGCCUCUUUUCCAAACAAGCAUCGGCAGCGCCUAAGCAGGGCUCUGCCACUCAGGGCUCUGCCAUGAGAAGCAAAUUGGCAGCAACAGACAGCCCCCUGAGGCACUGGAAUUCAGUUCUCGGAACAUACAUUAAAUGUGGAUGAGAUAUUUAUUUAUCAUGGGACUCUUUCAUGUUGCAUGGAAUUCCUUCCACAGGGCAGCCCACUUAGGUACAGGGGAGGAAAUAUGUUCUGCCCCUUUGGACAAAAGUCAAGAAAAGGUACUAUGUGGAAUCUUGUCACUUUUUAAUUGCUGACAUUCUUAAGGUUUUUUUCUUAAACAGCAUUGCCACUGGCUAGACACUAGCAGAGUUCCUUUUCUCUCUGCGCAUGACAUGGAUCACUAACACCGCAUGUGAUGGGAGGAGGAGGAGGAGGCCUGCUUUAGUCUUAGAGGUCUGCCCAUUUCUCCAGGAUAAUGCAGUCUGGUCAAGGCUCUCUGCCUUCUGACCCCAGUAGGAGUGAUGUGUACAGAGAAGAAUUUCUGACCCUUUACUAAUCUCAGUUAUUUGAAUGCCUUUUUGUAAACAAAGCAUCUUUUAGGCAAACUUAAAACUUUUCCUGCUCAUGUAGGUACAAAUUUCCCACUUUCCUAAGAACAAAUAAAUUCAAUUAAAGAUAAAACUGUAAUGUGGAAUAAUAGUUCAGGCUUUAAAAACAAAGGGAGGGGUUAAAAACAAGUUCUGCAAUAAAUCUGCAAGUAUGGAAUCUAAGGGAAAUGAUCCCAUCUGGAAAACUCUACCAGUGGUGCCGUGGCUGGUUUGUGGAGCAGUGUGCGGAUCGUGGAGUGAAAAAAGACCCCGCAGUCUUGAAAGAUGACAGCCUUCUUAAUUGAUGUCCAUUUCAGCUGGUGCUGUGCCAGCUUAUGUUGGCCCCAGUCCAGCGUGCCUGUAAUUUGGGAGCCAGGUGUGAAGCAUUUUUGUUCCAUCUUGUUCCCCAGCAUCUACAGAAGCCUCACGCAUCUCACUUGAGGCAGCAGCACUCUGUAGGAAACAGAUGUACAGGUAGAGGUGGAAGGAAGUGUCACAGCUGGGUUAUGGAUAUUAAAAAAAAA